AGCCCACCAGCUAGCUCACCCCCUGAACAUAACAAUCAACUAUUAAUUAACCCCUAAAGACCUAGGAUACCCAAGGCCAAACCAUUUUUCCCCCCAAGUAUGGGAGACAGAAAAGGAUACAAGAAGCAACAGCGACAGUACCGCAAGGGAAUGCUGAAAGAGAAAUGAAACAAACCAGUAAAGCACAAAAAAGCAGAGAUUAAUUCUCGUACCUUU
RNAcentral lists this ribosomal RNA (216 nucleotides) under Cheilodipterus quinquelineatus (five-lined cardinalfish). Its description in RNAcentral is "partial 16S ribosomal RNA". Lineage: Eukaryota; Metazoa; Chordata; Actinopteri; Kurtiformes; Apogonidae. The record is from RNAcentral.